GUCGACAGAGCUGCAGCAAUGGCGAUGAUAACAGACUUGCAGCAAGUCCGCAGUUGACAUGACAACCAACGAUUAAACAUGCACUCGUUAUUCCCGCGUGUUUUCACACAAAUUCAAAAAGCAAAAAACACUCGCUUCAAAGUACUUUAGAUCAUUUUAUUUAUCGUAUAUGUAACUGAUCAUAAUACAAUUUUACAUGUGAAAUUACAAUAAAUGCAAAAACAUUGCUAAUAUAUACUGAAACCGAUGAAAUAUACUUCACUAUUUCAACGCUUAAAAAGUAUUCUCAAUUCGUAUUUUCGUAGCUGAUAGUGAUAGUCAUAGACAAUAUCAAAGCCAUAAACAAUGCUGUUUAUAUAAACUACAGAGGCCGGUUGUACGAAUGGUGGAUCAGAAUCGCUAUCCGGUGGAUAAGUCGCUAUCCAGCGGAUAAAUUUUAUCUGGAGUGAAAAUCGCGUUGUACGAAGC
This is a non-coding RNA of Paramuricea clavata, 468 nucleotides long. NCBI's taxonomy places the organism in Eukaryota, Metazoa, Cnidaria, Anthozoa, Malacalcyonacea, Plexauridae. The record is from the annotation of a GenBank genome assembly.